UCCAUCGUGGUGCAGUGGUAGCACGCAGUGUUUCCGGCGUCCCGCGAAAUCAUGGCCCUUCCAUUCCGGGUGGUUGGGAGAAGAUAUGGUGCUUCAAUGGAGCUGAGACCCGAGUGCGAUUCUCGGCGGGGGCA
Molecule: non-coding RNA, 134 nt
Organism: Phyllosticta capitalensis
Lineage: Eukaryota; Fungi; Ascomycota; Dothideomycetes; Botryosphaeriales; Phyllostictaceae
Source: the annotation of a GenBank genome assembly